RNAcentral lists this ribosomal RNA (253 nucleotides) under uncultured bacterium. Its description in RNAcentral is "partial 16S ribosomal RNA". It matches the Rfam family "Bacterial small subunit ribosomal RNA", at positions 524 to 776 of the family's 1533-position model. The record is from RNAcentral.
UACGUAGGUGGCAAGCGUUGUUCGGAAUUACUGAGCGUAAAGCGCGCGUAGGCGGCUCUUCAAGUCAGGCGUGAAAGCCCCGGGCUUAACUCGGGAACUGCGCUUGAUACUGUCGAGCUAGAGUGUGGAAGGGGCGAUUGGAAUUCCGUGUGUAGCGGUGAAAUGCGUAGAUAUACGGAGGAACACCAGAGGCGAAGGCGGAUCGCUGGGCCAACACUGACGCUGAUGUGCGAAAGCUAGGGGAGCAAACGGG